UGGGGAAUUUUGCGCAAUGGGCGAAAGCCUGACGCAGCGACGCCGCGUGGGUGACGAAGGCCUUCGGGUCGUAAAGCCCUGUGGGAAGGAACGAACCGACACUGGGACAACACCCCAGUGUCCUGACGGUACCUUUAUAGCAAGCACCGGCUAACUCUGUGCCAGCAGCCGCGGUAAGACAGAGGGUGCUAACGUUGCUCGGAAUUACUGGGCGUAAAGCGCGAGUAGGUGGUUUGGUAAGUCGGGUGUGAAAGCCCAGGGCUCAACCCUGGAAGGGCACUCGAACCUGCCAGACUGGAGUAUCGGAGGGGAGAGCGGAAUUCCCGGUGUAGAGGUGAAAUUCGUAGAUAUCGGGAGGAACACCAGUGGCGAAGGCGGCUCUCUGGACGAUCACUGACACUGAGACGCGAAAGCGUGGGGAGCAAACAGG
RNAcentral lists this ribosomal RNA (430 nucleotides) under uncultured bacterium. RNAcentral's name for it is "partial 16S ribosomal RNA". It matches the Rfam family "Bacterial small subunit ribosomal RNA", at positions 355 to 776 of the family's 1533-position model. The record is from RNAcentral.